Molecule: ribosomal RNA, 253 nt
Filed under: uncultured bacterium
Lineage: Bacteria
Description: partial 16S ribosomal RNA
Rfam family: Bacterial small subunit ribosomal RNA
Source: RNAcentral
UACAGAGGUCCCGAGCGUUGUUCGGAUUCAUUGGGCGUAAAGGGUGCGUAGGCGGCGGGGCAAGUCUGAUGUGAAAUCCCCGGGCUCAACCCGGGAACUGCUUCUGAUACUGGCGGACUUGAGGCCAGUAGGGGUCACUAGAACUGACGGUGGAGCGGUGAAAUGCGUAGAUAUCGUCAGGAAUGCCGGUGGUGAAGACGGGUGACUGGGCUGGUUCUGACACUGAGGCACGAAAGCUAGGGUAGCGAACGGG